GUGCUCGCUUCGGCAGCACAUAUACUAAAAUUGGAACGAUACAGAGAAGAUUAGCAUGGCUGUCUCUCUGUCACAUAAAUAAAUAAAAUCGAAAAUAAAUAA
This 102-nucleotide small nuclear RNA is filed under the name Ursus americanus (American black bear). Lineage: Eukaryota; Metazoa; Chordata; Mammalia; Carnivora; Ursidae. The record is from RNAcentral. RNAcentral also lists the same sequence under 1 other name.